AUUGAACGCUGGCGGCAGGCCUAACACAUGCAAGUCGAACGAGCGGCGGACGGGUGAGUAAUGUAUGGGGACCUGCGUGAUGGAGGGGGAUAACUACUGGAAAAGGUAGCUAAUACCGCAUACCACCAGAUGAACCCAUAUGGGUUUAGCUGGUAGGUGAGGUAACGGCUUACCUAGGCGACGAUCCCUAGCUGGCCUGAGAGGAUGAUCAGCCACACUGGGACUGAGACACGGCCCAGACUCCGACGGGAGGCAGCAGUGGGGAAUAUUGCACAAUGGGCGCAAGCCUGAUGCAGCCAUGCCGCGUGUAUGAAGAAGGCCUUCGGGUUGUAAAGUACUUUCGGUAGGGAGGCGGUACCGACAGAAGAAGCACCGGCUAACUCCGUGCCAGCAGCCGCGGUAAUAC
RNAcentral lists this ribosomal RNA (406 nucleotides) under uncultured bacterium. RNAcentral's name for it is "partial 16S ribosomal RNA". It matches the Rfam family "Bacterial small subunit ribosomal RNA", at positions 30 to 526 of the family's 1533-position model. The record is from RNAcentral.